RNAcentral lists this unclassified non-coding RNA (275 nucleotides) under Hevea brasiliensis (rubber tree). Lineage: Eukaryota; Viridiplantae; Streptophyta; Magnoliopsida; Malpighiales; Euphorbiaceae. The record is from RNAcentral.
GUAGCUCUCAAUAUCCUUUCCAUCUAUCACCACUCUCCUCUCAUCUUCUUGUCCUUUCUCUUCUCAUUGGCUAGCAGUUUCCUCUGUGAUUUUGGGAGUUCAUAUGGCCCCAGUAUUAGCAAUAAUUCUCCUUUCGCAUGUGCAAGUCACAAGUAGCCAAGAGGUCAACAAUUGCCCGAUGCUAUUUUUGGGAGUUCCUUUCUUUUACUAGUCCUGACGAAAGGAUCUUUUACAUUUAAAUCUGUGCUAUUUGGGUUUUAUUAAUUUGUUAGGUU